RNAcentral lists this ribosomal RNA (443 nucleotides) under uncultured bacterium. Its description in RNAcentral is "partial 16S ribosomal RNA". It matches the Rfam family "Bacterial small subunit ribosomal RNA", at positions 338 to 795 of the family's 1533-position model. The record is from RNAcentral.
CCUACGGGAGGCAGCAGUGGGGGAUAUUGGUCAAUGGGGGAAACCCUGAACCAGCAACGCCGCGUGAGGGAAGACGGCCUUCGGGUUGUAAACCUAAGUGAUCAGGGAUGAAACAAAUGACAGUACCUGAAAAGCAAGCUCCGGCUAACUACGUGCCAGCAGCCGCGGUAAUACGUAGGGAGCAAGCGUUGUCCGGAUUUACUGGGUGUAAAGGGUGCGUAGGCGGGAACACAAGUCAGGCGUGAAAUACCGGGGCUCAACUCCGGGGCUGCGGCUUAAAACGGGUUUCCUGGAGGAAGUAGAGGCCGGGCGGAAUUCCAGGUGUGGCGGUGAAUGCGUAGAUAUUAGGAGGAACACCAGUGGCGAAGGCGGCCUGCUGGGCUUUAACUGACGCUGAUGCACGAAAGCAUGGGGAGCAAACAGGAUUAGAUACCCUGGUAGUC